RNAcentral lists this long non-coding RNA (601 nucleotides) under Pan troglodytes (chimpanzee). RNAcentral's name for it is "lincRNA". The record is from RNAcentral. Lineage: Eukaryota; Metazoa; Chordata; Mammalia; Primates; Hominidae.
UGGCACCAGCAGAUCUGCCUGUGCAUGGACUUCCUGUACUACCUCACUCCUGAGGGGAGAUGUUUCUGCAGGGCCUAUGACCUGGUGCACAACUUUAGACACCAUCAUCCUGGAGCAGCACUGCACCCUCACUAGCCAGGGUGUUGACAUCCUCAAGGCCAGGGCCACAUUCAAGACUUUGGACUUCAUUGACGCACUUUUGCUGAGCAAGCUUAUCUGAUCUCCUGGGAUCUCUACUAGGAUGCUGGCAGCCCAGCCGGCUGGUCUGGCCCUGGACGUGCUUUCAGGGGCUGAUUAUGCUUCAUGACCUGUGUUGUGAUCCUGGUCAGAGUAAAACAUUCCAUGGGAACUCGGGCUGUGAGAAACAUCCUAACCACCUGACUGCAGAAACAUCCUUAUCACAUCCUGCUGGGCAAAGGCCCAACAGCCUGACUUCAGGAACAUCCUUAUCAUCUUCUACUGAGCAGCAAGCGAUACUGUCCAGAGCCCUCCCUCCCAGCCCCAUGAUUACCCCAGCCUGUAAGCGGCAGUGGGCGCUGACACUAAGCUGGUUUCCCCCUCCGCAGGGUUUUGCUAGUAAUAAAUCUGUGUUGCUGUUGAA